This 1176-nucleotide long non-coding RNA is filed under the name Gallus gallus (chicken). The record is from RNAcentral. Lineage: Eukaryota; Metazoa; Chordata; Aves; Galliformes; Phasianidae.
GAAUUUGCAGCCCUCCUUCCUUAGCAGCAGGCCCAGUGUCAACUAUUUUUGAUACAAAAAUUCCUUCGCUGGCUGAACCAUCUUGAUUGUCCACGCAUGGUCGGCCACCAAUAAUAUUAAAUCCAAGAGAGCCUGAGUCACGGUGGAGGACGAGAGUCAGUGCUUUAGUUUCUUCACCCUUGCCGGGAGAGGCGGAGCGGGCGCGGGCCAGGGCGUCCAGGCGGGCGCUGUACUGCGUGAAGCGCUUCUGGUAGCGCAGCGCCGUCACCUGCAGCUCCAGCUGCGCCGCCGCCAGCCGCGACAGCAGCGACUGCUCCCGCUUCCCGGCGCGCAGCGCCUCCUUCUUCAGCGCCUUCUCCAGCGCCGCCGCCCGCGCCUGCAGAGCGGCCCCGUGGGCGCGCAGGGCCCGCAGGCAGCUGUGGCCGCCGCUCCGGCGCUCGCCGUGCGUGAGCAUCAGGCCGCAGCCCUGCUCGCACAGUCCGGCCGGCCGCGCCUCGCAGCGCUCCCGCAUGUGCGCCUCCACGUCGCGCAGGUUGAGCACCUGGCGGCAGCCGCGGUUGCGGCACUUGGCGGGGGAGAAGUCGCAGGUCUCGGCGUGCUCUCCCAGGUGCUGCAGCGGCACCACCGCCUCGCAGCCCCGCGCGUGGUUGUCGCACUUGAUGUCCAGCUUGAGGAUGAGGCUCUUGAGCGGCAGGACGUGGUUGAGCUCCUUGGCGGAGAUGCGCUGGCAGUUGGCGGGGCAGCUGCCCUGCUGCACCACCCAGGGCAGCACGCAGCCGGCGCAAAACACGUGGCCGCAGGGGGUGGUCAGCGGGUCCUCCAGCACCUUGUUGCACAGGUUGCACUUGAAGUCGGGGUCCACUUCCCCGCUGAAGCGAUCCAGCUCGAAUCCCAUCCUCCUUCCGCUUUCCGAAAAAUAAUAACAAUUAAAAAGAAAACAAAAAACAAAACCCCAGCCGAAGUAAGCGAAGCGCAGACGGGACGAGGGAAGCCAAGUAAAACCGGCAGCCCCAACUCCCCGCGGGCAGUCCGGCCCGCAGAGCCGUCACGGAGCGGCCGUUCGGUCUCCGCCGCUCCCGCGGAGCGCCCGGCCCCGCUGCCCCGCGCCCUCCUCGCGCCGCCGCGCGCUGCACUGCCGGGCGCCGCCUGCACACAGCUCCGCCGCGCGCCCCGCCC